GGUUAUGGCUCAGAGGUAUAGCGCUUGCCUAGCAUGUGUGAGGCACUGAGUUCAAUCCUCAGCACCA
Molecule: transfer RNA, 67 nt
Filed under: Marmota monax (woodchuck)
Lineage: Eukaryota; Metazoa; Chordata; Mammalia; Rodentia; Sciuridae
Description: tRNA.Ala
Source: RNAcentral